UUGGAGGGCAAGUCUGGUGCCAGCAGCCGCGGUAAUUCCAGCUCCAAUAGCGUAUAUUAAAGUUGUUGCAGUUAAAAAGCUCGUAGUUGGAUUUCGGGGUUAGUAGGUUGGUCAUGCCUCUGGUAUGCACUGGUCUCACUGAUUCCUCCUUCCUGAUGAGCCGUAAUGCCAUUAAUUUGGUGUUGCGGGGAAUUUGGACUGUUACUUUGAAAAAAUUAGAGUGUUUAAGGCAAGCUAACGCUUGAAUACAUUAGCAUGGAAUAAUGAAAUAGGACGUUCGAUCCUAUUUUGUUGGUUUCUAGGAUUGACGUAAUGAUUAAUAGGGAUAGUUGGGGGCAUUAGUAUUCAAUUGUCAGAGGUGAAAUUCUUGGAUUUAUUGAAGACUAACUACUGCGAAAGCAUUUGCCAAGGAUGUUUUCAUUAAUCAAGAACGAAAGUUAGGGGAUCGAAGACGAUCAGAUACCGUCGUAGUCUUAACCAUAAACUAUGCCGACUAGGGAUCGGAUGAUGUUAAUUUUUUAAUGACUCAUUCGGCGCCUUACGGGAAACCAAAGUGUUUGGGUUC
This 565-nucleotide ribosomal RNA is filed under the name uncultured Glomeromycotina. Its description in RNAcentral is "SSU rRNA". It matches the Rfam family "Eukaryotic small subunit ribosomal RNA", at positions 548 to 1114 of the family's 1831-position model. The record is from RNAcentral. Lineage: Eukaryota; Fungi; Glomeromycota.